AGUCACUGACGUUAGAUACCCGUGUAGUCCAGGGUGUAAACGCUGCAGACUUGGUGUUGGAAAUCCUUCGAGGGUAUUCAGUGCCGGAGAGAAGUUGUUAAGUCUGCUACUUGGGGAGUACGUCCGCAAGGAUGAAACUUAAAGGAAUUGGCGGGGGGAGCACCGCAACGGGAGGAGCGUGCGGUUUAAUUGGAUUCAACACCGGAAAACUCACCAGGGGAGACUGUUACAUGAAACCCAGACUGAUGAUCUUGGUUGAUUUUCAG
This 266-nucleotide ribosomal RNA is filed under the name uncultured archaeon. RNAcentral's name for it is "partial 16S ribosomal RNA". It matches the Rfam family "Archaeal small subunit ribosomal RNA", at positions 715 to 982 of the family's 1478-position model. The record is from RNAcentral.